UGGGCAGGGCAUCUCUGAAAAAAAGGCAGCAGCCCCAGUCAGGGACUCAUAGACAAAACCCCCAUCUCCCUGGGACAAAGCACCUGGGGAAAGGGGAGGUGGGGGGCACAGCUUCAGCAGACUUAAACGUCCCUGGCUGAUGGCUCUGAAGAGAGCAGCAGAUGUCCCAGCACAGUGUUAGAGCUCUGCUAAGGGACAGAAUGCCUCCUCAAGUGGGUCCCUGAACGCCAUGUAAACUGACUGGGAGACAACUCCCAGUAGAGACUGACAGACACAUCAUACAGGAGAGCUCUGGCAUCUGGUGGGUGGCCCUCUGGGACAAAGCUUCCAGAGGAAGAAACAGGCAGCAAUCUUUGCUGUUCUGCAGCCUCCGCUGGUGAUACUCAGGCAAACAGGGUCUGGAGUGGACCUCCAGCAAACUCCAGCAGACCUGCAGCAGAAGGUCCUGACUAUUAGAAGGAAAACUAACGAACAGAAAGGAAUCAUAUCAACAUCAACAAAAAGGACGUCCACACCAAAACCCCAUCCGAACAUCACCAAUAUCAAAGACCAAAGGUAGAUAAAUCCAUGAGGAUGGGGAGAAACGAGCACAAAAAGGCUGAAAAUUCCAAAAACCAGAACACCUCUUCUCCAAAGGAUCACAACUCCUCGCCAGCAAGGGAACAAAAUUGAACAGAGAAGGAUUUUGACAAAUUGACAUAAGUGGACUUCAGAAGGUGGGUAAUAACAAAGUCCACCAAGCUAAAGGAGCAUGUUCUAACCCAACGCAAGGAAGCUAAGAACUUUGAAAAAAAGUCCUUGAGAAAAGCAACCCCAAGACACAUAAUCAUCAGAUUCACCAAGGUUGAAAUGAAGGAAAAAAUGUUAAGGGCAGCCACCUGAAGGAAGCACGAAACAUGGAAAGGAACAACCAGUACCAGCCACAGCAAAAACAUACCAAAUUGUAAAGACCAUCAACGCUAUGAGGAAACUGCAUCAACUAACAGGCAAAGUAACCAGCCAGCAUCAUAAUGACAGGAUCAAAUUCACAUAUAACAAUAUUAACCUUAAAUGUAAAAGGGCUAAAUGCCCUGAUUAAAAGACAAAGACUGGUAAAUUGGAUAAAGAGUCAAGACCCGUCAGUGUGCUAUAUUCAGGAAACCCAUCUCACGUGCAAAGACACACAUAGGCUCAAAAUAAAUGGAUGGAAGAAGAUUUAUCAAGCAAAUCGAAAGCGAACAAAAAAAAGCAGGGGUUGCAAUCCUAGUCUCUGAUAAAACAGACUUUAAACCAACAAAGAACAAAAGAGACAAAGAAAGGCAUUACAUAAUGGUAAAGGUAUCAAUGUAUCAAGAAGAGCUAUCUAUCCUAAAUAUAUAUGCACCCAAUACAGGAGCACCCAGAUUCAUAAAGAAAGUUCUUAGAGACCUACAAACAGACUUAGACUACCACAAAAUAAUAGUGGGUGACUUUAACACCCCACUGUCAAUGUUAGACAGAUCAACAAAACCGAAAAUUAACAAGGAUAUCCAGGACUUGAACUCAGCUCUGGACCAAGCGGACCUAAUAUACAUCUACAGAAGUCUCCACCCCAAAUCAACAGAACAUACCUUCUUCUGAGCACCUCAUUGCACUUAUUCUAAAAUUGGCAGCAUAAUUGGAAGUAAAACACUCCUAAGCAAAUGUGAAAGAAUGGAAAUCAUAACAGUCUCUCAGACCACAGUGCAAUCAAAUUAGAACUCAGGAUUAAGAAACUCACUCAAAACUAUACAACUACAUGGAAACUGAACAACCUGUUCCAGAAUGACUACUGGGUAACAAAAUUAAGGCAGAAAUAAAGAUGUUCUUUGAAACCAAUGAGAACAAAGACACAACAUACCAGAAUCUCUGGGACAAAUUUAAAGCAGUGUGUAGAGAGAAAUUUAUAGCACAAAAUGCCCACAAGAGAAAGCAGGAAAGAUCUAAAAUUGACACCCUAACUUACAAUUAAAAGAACUAGAGAAGCAAGAGCAAACAAAUUCAAAAGCUAGCAGAAGGCAAGAAAUAAUUAGGAUCAGAGCAGAACUGAAGGAGAUACAGACAUGAAAACCCCUUCAAAAAAUUAAUGAAUCCAAGAGCUGGUUUUUUAAAAAGAUCAACAGAAUAGAUAGACUGCUAACCAGACUAAUAAAGAAGAAAGAAACAAGAAUCAAAUAGACACAAAAAAGGUAAAGGGGCUAUCACCACUGAUCCUACAGAAAUACAAACUACCAUCAGAGAAUACUAUAAACACCUCUACGCAAAUAAACUAGAAAAUCUAAAAGAAAUGAAUAAAUUCCUGGGCACAUACAACCUCCCAAGACUAAACCAGGAAGAAGUCAAAUCCCUGAAUAGACAAAUAAAAAGUUUCAAAAUUGAGGCAGUAAUUAAUAGCCUACUAACCAAAAAACAAAUCCAGGACCAGACAGAUUCACAGUUGAAUUCUACCAGAGGUAGAAAGAGGAGCUGGUACCAUUGCUUCUG
Molecule: long non-coding RNA, 2481 nt
Filed under: Pan troglodytes (chimpanzee)
Lineage: Eukaryota; Metazoa; Chordata; Mammalia; Primates; Hominidae
Description: long non-coding RNA NONPTRT003179
Source: RNAcentral